AUAAUACAAUCUUAGAUAUAGAUACGCUAUGCACUGCUAAGGAUAUCUAAAUUGUAUUACAAUCCACGUGGUAGAGUCAUAGUUAGGUUCGCUAUGGUGCAACUCUUUAAGGCAAUAACGAACUAAUUCUAAGCAAGUAAUGGAGAAAUGCCAGGGUCACUAUCUAGCCAUAAUAGUGCUUGACAGUAUGAUACUAACUGAACAAUAAGUAUCA
This 214-nucleotide non-coding RNA is filed under the name unclassified sequences. RNAcentral's name for it is "RAGATH-7 RNA". It matches the Rfam family "RAGATH-7 RNA". From Rfam's summary of the family: RNA motif Associated with Genes Associated with Twister and Hammerhead ribozymes (RAGATH). The record is from Rfam by way of RNAcentral.